Molecule: RNA transcript, 1345 nt
Organism: Hevea brasiliensis (rubber tree)
Lineage: Eukaryota; Viridiplantae; Streptophyta; Magnoliopsida; Malpighiales; Euphorbiaceae
Gene name: E3 ubiquitin-protein ligase RING1
Exons: 3
Source: RefSeq, a predicted model, not a curated record
AACCGUAGAAGAGAACUAAAAAAAAAGAAUCCAUUUAUGUAUUCUUCAAGUCCAGCCUCAGAAAACCAAAAGCCGUCUUUUACGUCUUCCCAGACAAGCGAUCAUGUCAUCCUCUGGAGAUACCACCGCCGACGUAGCCGUAGUGAAACCUUACUUCUGCUACCAAUGCAACUGCACCGUCACCAUAACAGUCUCUGCGUCCUCCGACCCUUAUUGUCCUUUAUGCCAUGAGGGCUUCCUCGAAGAAUAUGAAAACCCUACCCAUGACUUCAAUUCCCAAAACCCAAACCCCAAUCAGAACCCGAAUCCCUUAUCUGAUCCAAUUUUCUCAGUCCCGGAUCCUGUCUCUACCCUAUUGCCUCUUCUCUUCUCAUCGUCCACCAGCAUCGACUUGCAAAACCCUAAUCUCUUUGGGAACUCACGAGCUGCUUCUCUUGAUCCUGACACAUUCAAUCCGAUGGAAUUUUUGCGAAACCAUCUCCAGAACCUCCAUUCCGGUGGUGCUCGCAUCCAGUUUGUUAUCGAGAACCACCCGUCAGAUCCAGGGCUUCGCCUGCCAACGAAUAUUGGGGACUACUUCAUUGGACCGGGUCUGGAGCAACUGAUUCAACAACUGGCGGAGAAUGAUCCAAACCGGUAUGGAACACCGCCGGCAUCAGAAUCGGCUAUUGACGCAUUGCCAACUAUUAAAAUCACUGAGGAGUUGUUGAAUUCAGAAAUGAAUCAGUGUGCCGUUUGCAAAGACGAGUUUGAGAAGGGGGCUGAAGCGAAGCAAAUGCCCUGUAAGCAUGUGUAUCACAACGAUUGUAUAUUGCCAUGGCUUAAAAUGCAUAAUUCAUGCCCUGUAUGUCGGUAUGAGUUGCCCACUGACGGUGCUGAUUAUGAGAGUCGGACACAUGGCUCCCGCCGGAGUCAAGGAAGCAAUGGAGUAGGAAGUGGAGGGGACAAUCGGACAGUGGAGAGGCGGUUUAGUGUUUCCCUUCCGUGGCCUUUUGGAAGACAUGGGUCUAGCAGUGAUGGUGGAGCUGGUGGGCAAAGUAGUGCUUGAGGACUGGAUUGGAGAUUGUUAGUGUGCAAGUUUAAGCCUCAAGAGAAGCUACUUUAUAUAAAAUUGCAGAAGGGUAGAUUUGUCUUUUGGCUCUUGUACAUCUAAUAUUAUGCGGAAAAAUCAAGAGCAGGUUUUCUUUCAGGAGAAUCUGGGCAAAGGAAAACCUUAAGAAAGCUGGAACAGUCUAUGUAAACUUCUAAACAAUUUUGGAUUGUUAUUAAGCAUGACAGUCUUUAUCAUACGUACACACACUGAUUUCUUAGUUAUAUAAUCCGUAUAGAUCGAUACAUUUGUUUA